Long non-coding RNA from Pyrgilauda ruficollis (rufous-necked snowfinch), 349 nucleotides. RefSeq lists it as uncharacterized. The record is from RefSeq and is a predicted model, not a curated record. NCBI's taxonomy places the organism in Eukaryota, Metazoa, Chordata, Aves, Passeriformes, Passeridae. The transcript is spliced from 3 exons.
CGGGGAUGCACUCCAGUGACUAAUGUCUCCAAUGUGUCAUCUGUGCCACAAACAGCUGCAUGGAGGUGGUUAAUUUCCAAGGGGAGAUGCCUCACCACAAAAUGUCCCUCUCUGCCCUGCCACAGUUGGUCCUGAUUUGACUGUCUCUGUGGAGAAGCCAAGGAUCAAAUGCUCCAUGGUGCCAGGCUGUUUUCUUUUGCAGCCUGCAGGAACUGCCGAAGUCCCCGCUCAGAGAAGCACGCUCCUCCGGGCGCUGGGGGAUGCACCACCCCUCCUGACGGCCUGAUGGAUUAUGGCCCCAGUUCUGUCAGUGCAUCCAACCAAACCAGCAAAGAGGCAGAGAGGCAGC